UAGCCAUUCUCUGUACUGUGCACUUGUU
RNAcentral lists this non-coding RNA (28 nucleotides) under Rattus norvegicus (Norway rat). The record is from RNAcentral. Lineage: Eukaryota; Metazoa; Chordata; Mammalia; Rodentia; Muridae.